AACGCGAAGAACCUUACCUGGGCUUGAACUGCAGAUGCCCAUCGGCGAACCGAGACUUCCCGCAAGGACAUCUAUACAGGUGCUGCACGGCGGUCUUCACCUCGUGUCGUGAGAGGUUGGGUGAAGUCUCGCAACGAGCGCACCCCUCUUCCUCUGUUGCCACCACGUUAAGUUGGGCACUCUAGAGAGACUGCCGGUGACAAACCGGAGGAAGGUGGGGAUGACGUCAAGUCAUCAUGGCCUUUAUGUCCAGGGCUACACACGUGCUACAAUGGCCGGUACAAAGGGUUGCCAACCCGCGAGGGGGAGCUAAUCCCAAAAACCCGGUCUCAGUUCGGGAUUGCAGUCUGCAACUCGCCUCCAUGAAGUCGGAAUCGCUAGUAAUCGGGGAUCAGCAUGCCGCGGUGAAUACGUUCCCGGGCCUUGUACACACCG
Molecule: ribosomal RNA, 435 nt
Filed under: uncultured bacterium
Lineage: Bacteria
Description: bacterial SSU rRNA
Rfam family: Bacterial small subunit ribosomal RNA
Source: RNAcentral